AACGAACGCUGGCGGCAUGCCUAACACAUGCAAGUCGAACGAGACCUUCGGGUCUAGUGGCGCACGGGUGCGUAACGCGUGGGAACCUGCCCUUAGGUUCGGAAUAACUCCCCGAAAGGGGUGCUAAUACCGGAUAAUGUCUUCGGACCAAAGAUUUAUCGCCUUUGGAUGGGCCCGCGUUGGAUUAGCUAGUUGGUAGGGUAAAAGCCUACCAAGGCGACGAUCCAUAGCUGGUCUGAGAGGAUGAUCAGCCACACUGGGACUGAGACACGGCCCAGACUCCUACGGGAGGCAGCAGUGGGGAAUAUUGGACAAUGGGCGAAAGCCUGAUCCAGCAAUGCCGCGUGAGUAAUGAAGGCCUUAGGGUUGUAAAGCUCUUUUACCCGGGAUGAUAAUGACAGUACCGGGAGAAUAAGCUCCGGCUAACUCCGUG
This 433-nucleotide ribosomal RNA is filed under the name uncultured bacterium. RNAcentral describes it as "partial 16S ribosomal RNA". It matches the Rfam family "Bacterial small subunit ribosomal RNA", at positions 29 to 507 of the family's 1533-position model. The record is from RNAcentral.